CGCGAAUCGCCCUUGGGGUGCAGCAGGCGCGAAAACUUUGCAAUGCGGGAAACCGUGACAAGGGAACUCUGAGUGCCCGUUAAAUCGGGCUGUCCAUCGGUUUAAAUAACCGGUGAAGAAAGGGCCGGGCAAGACCGGUGCCAGCCGCCGCGGUAAUACCGGCGGCUCGAGUGGUGGCCACUAUUACUGGGCUUAAAGCGUUCGUAGCUGGUUUGUUAAGUCUCUGGGGAAACCUUCCGGCUUAACCGGAAGGCGUCUCAGGGAUACUGGCAAACUAGGGACCGGGAGAGGUGAGAGGUACUCCAGGGGUAGGAGUGAAAUCCUGUAAUCCUUGGGGGACCACCUGUGGCGAAGGCGUCUCACCAGAACGGCUCCAACAGUGAGGGACGAAAGCUGGGGGAGCAAACCGGAUUAGAUACCCGGGUAGUCCCAGCUGUAAACGAUGCGCGUUAGGUGUAUCGGUGACCACGAGUCACCGAGGUGCCGAAGAGAAAUCGUGAAACGUGCCGCCUGGGAAGUACGGUCGCAAGGCUGAAACUUAAAGGAAUUGGCGGGGGAGCAC
RNAcentral lists this ribosomal RNA (562 nucleotides) under uncultured archaeon. RNAcentral describes it as "bacterial SSU rRNA". It matches the Rfam family "Archaeal small subunit ribosomal RNA", at positions 312 to 879 of the family's 1478-position model. The record is from RNAcentral.